GUUGGAUUUGUGGUUGGGUUCGUCGGUCCGGCACAUUGUGCGGGUACUUGAUGGACUCGUCCAUCCUUGGGUGGAAUCUGUGUGGCAUUAAGUUGUCGUGCAGGGGAUGCCCAUCGUUUACUGUGAAAAAAUUAGAGUGUUCAAAGCAGGCUUAUGCCGUUGAAUAUAUUAGCAUGGAAUAAUGAGAUAGGACCUUGGUACUAUUUUGUUGGUUUGCGCACCGAGGUAAUGAUUAAUAGGGACAGUUGGGGGUAUUCGUAUUCCAUUGUCAGAGGUGAAAUUCUUGGAUUUUUGGAAGACGAACUACUGCGAAAGCAUUUACCAAGGAUGUUU
This 333-nucleotide ribosomal RNA is filed under the name Fragilariales sp. RCC5552. Its description in RNAcentral is "SSU rRNA". It matches the Rfam family "Eukaryotic small subunit ribosomal RNA", at positions 633 to 969 of the family's 1831-position model. The record is from RNAcentral. Lineage: Eukaryota; Bacillariophyta; Fragilariophyceae; Fragilariales.